RNAcentral lists this ribosomal RNA (377 nucleotides) under uncultured bacterium. RNAcentral describes it as "bacterial SSU rRNA". It matches the Rfam family "Bacterial small subunit ribosomal RNA", at positions 116 to 507 of the family's 1533-position model. The record is from RNAcentral.
CGUGAGCAACCUACCUUCAGAGGGGGACGAACAGUUGGAAACGACUGCUAAUACCGCAUGACACAAUCGGGAGGCAUCUCCUGGUUGUCAAAGAUUUAUCGCUGAAAGAUGGGCUCGCGUCUGAUUAGAUAGUUGGUGGGGUAACGGCCUACCAAGUCGACGAUCAGUAGCCGGACUGAGAGGUUGAACGGCCACAUUGGAACUGAGAUACGGUCCAGACUCCUACGGGAGGCAGCAGUGGGGAAUAUUGGGGCAAUGGGCGAAAGCCUGACCCAGCGACGCCGCGUGAGGGAAGAAGGUCUUCGGAUUGUAAACCUUAGUCAACAGGGAAGAAGAAAGUGACGGUACCUGUGGAGGAAGCCACGGCUAACUACGUG